GGGAUCUGUUCAUUUCUCAGUGAGGGAUCUGUUCAUUUCUGUGAGGGAUCUGUUCAUUUCUCAGUGAGGGAUCUGUUCAUUUCUCAGUGAGGGGAUCUGUUCAUUUCUGUGAGGGAUCUGUUCAUUUCUGUGAGGGGCUCUGUUCAUUUCUGUGAGGGCUCUGUUCAUUUCUGAGUGAGGGGAUCUGUUCA
RNAcentral lists this long non-coding RNA (191 nucleotides) under Zonotrichia albicollis (white-throated sparrow). Its description in RNAcentral is "lncRNA (ENSZALG00000000636.1)". The record is from RNAcentral. Lineage: Eukaryota; Metazoa; Chordata; Aves; Passeriformes; Passerellidae.